ACGUGCCCAGUCGUGGGGGAUAACGUAGCGAAAGUUACGCUAAUACCGCAUACGAUCUACGGAUGAAAGCGGGGGAUCGCAAGACCUCGCGCGAUUGGAGCGGCCGAUAUCAGAUUAGGUAGUUGGUGGGGUAAAGGCUCACCAAGCCAACGAUCUGUAACUGGUCUGAGAGGACGACCAGCCACACUGGAACUGAGACACGGUCCAGACUCCUACGGGAGGCAGCAGUGGGGAAUUUUGGACAAUGGACGCAAGUCUGAUCCAGCCAUUCCGCGUGCAGGAUGAAGGCCCUCGGGUUGUAAACUGCUUUUGUACGGAACGAAAAGGUUUCCAUUAAUACUGGGAGCUCAUGACGGUACCGUAAGAAUAAGCACCGGCUAACUACGUGCCAGCAGCCGCGGUAAUACGUAGGGUGCAAGCGUUAAUCGGAAUUACUGGGCGUAAAGCGUGCGCAGGCGGUGAUGUAAGACAGGCGUGAAAUCCCCGGGCUCAACCUGGGAAUUGCGCUUGUGACUGCAUCGCUGGAGUGCGGCAGAGGGGGAUGGAAUUCCGCGUGUAGCAGUGAAAUGCGUAGAUAUGCGGAGGAACACCGAUGGCGAAGGCAAUCCCCUGGGCCUGCACUGACGCUCAUGCACGAAAGCGUGGGGAGCAAACAGGAUUAGAUACCCUGGUAGUCCACGCCCUAAACGAUGUCAACUGGUUGUUGGGUAUUUACUUACU
This 720-nucleotide ribosomal RNA is filed under the name uncultured bacterium. RNAcentral describes it as "bacterial SSU rRNA". It matches the Rfam family "Bacterial small subunit ribosomal RNA", at positions 124 to 840 of the family's 1533-position model. The record is from RNAcentral.